AUUGAACGCUGGCGGCAGGCUUAACACAUGCAAGUCGAGCGGGGGAAGGUAGCUUGCUACCUAACCUAGCGGCGGACGGGUGAGUAAUGCUUAGGAAUCUGCCUAUUAGUGGGGGACAACAUUUCGAAAGGGAUGCUAAUACCGCAUACGCCCUAAGGGGGAAAGCAGGGGAUCUUCGGACCUUGCGCUAAUAGAUGAGCCUAAGUCGGAUUAGCUAGUUGGUGGGGUAAAGGCCUACCAAGGCGACGAUCUGUAGCGGGUCUGAGAGGAUGAUCCGCCACACUGGGACUGAGACACGGCCCAGACUCCUACGGGAGGCAGCAGUGGGGAAUAUUGGACAAUGGGGGGAACCCUGAUCCAGCCAUGCCGCGUGUGUGAAGAAGGCCUUUUGGUUGUAAAGCACUUUAAGCGAGGAGGAGGCUACCGAGAUUAAUACUCUUGGACAGUGGACGUUACUCGCAGAAUAAGCACCGGCUAACUCUGUG
This 485-nucleotide ribosomal RNA is filed under the name uncultured bacterium. RNAcentral describes it as "bacterial SSU rRNA". It matches the Rfam family "Bacterial small subunit ribosomal RNA", at positions 30 to 507 of the family's 1533-position model. The record is from RNAcentral.